CGGGAAUAUUGCGCAAUGGGGGAAACCCUGACGCAGCCAUGCCGCGUGUGUGAAGAAGGCCCUAGGGUUGUAAAGCACUUUCAAUUGGGAGGAAAAGCUAAUGGUUAAUAGCCAUUAGCCCUGACGUUACCUUUAGAAGAAGCACCGGCUAACUCCGUGCCAGCAGCCGCGGUAAUACGGAGGGUGCAAGCGUUAAUCGGAAUUACUGGGCGUAAAGCGCGCGUAGGCGGCUCUUUAAGUCGGAUGUGAAAGCCCCGGGCUCAACCUGGGAACUGCAUCCGAUACUGGAGGGCUAGAGUGUAGGAGAGGGAGGUAGAAUUCCAUGUGUAGCAGUGAAAUGCGUAGAUAUA
This 350-nucleotide ribosomal RNA is filed under the name uncultured bacterium. RNAcentral describes it as "bacterial SSU rRNA". It matches the Rfam family "Bacterial small subunit ribosomal RNA", at positions 356 to 698 of the family's 1533-position model. The record is from RNAcentral.